AGGAGUGUAGUUUAGUGGUAGAGCAUAUGCCUAGUAUGCACAAGGUCUUGGUUCCAUUUCUAGUACUACAA
Molecule: transfer RNA, 71 nt
Filed under: Ictidomys tridecemlineatus (thirteen-lined ground squirrel)
Lineage: Eukaryota; Metazoa; Chordata; Mammalia; Rodentia; Sciuridae
Description: Spermophilus tridecemlineatus (thirteen-lined ground squirrel) tRNA
Rfam family: tRNA
About the family: Transfer RNA (tRNA) molecules are approximately 80 nucleotides in length. Their secondary structure includes four short double-helical elements and three loops (D, anti-codon, and T loops).
Source: Rfam by way of RNAcentral